Molecule: ribosomal RNA, 1372 nt
Filed under: uncultured bacterium
Lineage: Bacteria
Description: bacterial SSU rRNA
Rfam family: Bacterial small subunit ribosomal RNA
Source: RNAcentral
GAUGAACGCUGGCGGCGUGCCUAAUACAUGCAAGUCGAGCGAACGGACGAGAAGCUUGCUUCUCUGAUGUUAGCGGCGGACGGGUGAGUAACACGUGGAUAACCUACCUAUAAGACUGGGAUAACUUCGGGAAACCGGAGCUAAUACCGGAUAAUAUUUUGAACCGCAUGGUUCAAAAGUGAAAGACGGUCUUGCUGUCACUUAUAGAUGGAUCCGCGCUGCAUUAGCUAGUUGGUAAGGUAACGGCUUACCAAGGCAACGAUGCAUAGCCGACCUGAGAGGGUGAUCGGCCACACUGGAACUGAGACACGGUCCAGACUCCUACGGGAGGCAGCAGUAGGGAAUCUUCCGCAAUGGGCGAAAGCCUGACGGAGCAACGCCGCGUGAGUGAUGAAGGUCUUCGGAUCGUAAAACUCUGUUAUUAGGGAAGAACAUAUGUGUAAGUAACUGUGCACAUCUUGACGGUACCUAAUCAGAAAGCCACGGCUAACUACGUGCCAGCAGCCGCGGUAAUACGUAGGUGGCAAGCGUUAUCCGGAAUUAUUGGGCGUAAAGCGCGCGUAGGCGGUUUUUUAAGUCUGAUGUGAAAGCCCACGGCUCAACCGUGGAGGGUCAUUGGAAACUGGAAAACUUGAGUGCAGAAGAGGAAAGUGGAAUUCCAUGUGUAGCGGUGAAAUGCGCAGAGAUAUGGAGGAACACCAGUGGCGAAGGCGACUUUCUGGUCUGUAACUGACGCUGAUGUGCGAAAGCGUGGGGAUCAAACAGGAUUAGAUACCCUGGUAGUCCACGCCGUAAACGAUGAGUGCUAAGUGUUAGGGGGUUUCCGCCCCUUAGUGCUGCAGCUAACGCAUUAAGCACUCCGCCUGGGGAGUACGACCGCAAGGUUGAAACUCAAAGGAAUUGACGGGGACCCGCACAAGCGGUGGAGCAUGUGGUUUAAUUCGAAGCAACGCGAAGAACCUUACCAAAUCUUGACAUCCUUUGACAACUCUAGAGAUAGAGCUUUCCCCUUCGGGGGACAAAGUGACAGGUGGUGCAUGGUUGUCGUCAGCUCGUGUCGUGAGAUGUUGGGUUAAGUCCCGCAACGAGCGCAACCCUUAAGCUUAGUUGCCAUCAUUAAGUUGGGCACUCUAAGUUGACUGCCGGUGACAAACCGGAGGAAGGUGGGGAUGACGUCAAAUCAUCAUGCCCCUUAUGAUUUGGGCUACACACGUGCUACAAUGGACAAUACAAAGGGCAGCGAAACCGUGAGGUCAAGCAAAUCCCAUAAAGUUGUUCUCAGUUCGGAUUGUAGUCUGCAACUCGACUACAUGAAGCUGGAAUCGCUAGUAACCGUAGAUCAGCAUGCUACGGUGAAUACGUUCCCGGGUCU